RNAcentral lists this ribosomal RNA (471 nucleotides) under uncultured bacterium. RNAcentral's name for it is "bacterial SSU rRNA". It matches the Rfam family "Bacterial small subunit ribosomal RNA", at positions 36 to 518 of the family's 1533-position model. The record is from RNAcentral.
CUGGCGGCGCGCCUAACACAUGCAAGUCGAACGAAGAUAACCGCAGCAAUGUGGUUGUCUUAGUGGCGGACGGGUGGAGUAACGCGUGAGGAACCUGCCUUUCGGAGGGGAAUAACACAUCGAAAGAUGUGCUAAUACCGCAUAACGUCAUCGGGUGGCAUCAUCUGAUGACCAAAGGAGCAAUCCGCCGAAAGAUGGCCUCGCGUCCGAUUAGAUAGUUGGUGAGGUAACGGCCCACCAAGUCUGCGAUCGGUAGCCGGACUGAGAGGUUGAACGGCCACAUUGGGACUGAGACACGGCCCAGACUCCUACGGGAGGCAGCAGUGGGGGAUAUUAGUCAAUGGAAGGAAACUCUGAACUAGCGACGCCGCGUGAGGGAAGAAGGUCUUCGGAUUGUAAACCUCUGUCUUCGGGGACGAUAAUGACGGUACCCGAGGAGGAAGCCCCGGCUAACUACGUGCCAGCAGCUGC